GACGAACGCUGGCGGCGUGCUUAACACAUGCAAGUCGAACUGAAAGGCCCCCUUGUGGGGUACUCGAGUGGCGAACGGGUGAGUAACACGUGAGUAACCUACCCUUGACUUUGGGAUAACUUCAGGAAACUGGGGCUAAUACCGGAUAGGAGCUCCUGCUGCAUGGUGGGGGUUGGAAAGUUUCGGCGGUUGGGGAUGGACUCGCGGCUUAUCAGCUUGUUGGUGGGGUAGUGGCUCACCAAGGCUUUGACGGGUAGCCGGCCUGAGGGGGUGACCGGCCACAUUGGGACUGAGAUACGGCCCAGACUCCUACGGGAGGCAGCAGUGGGGAAUAUUGCACAAUGGGCGGAAGCCUGAUGCAGCAACGCCGCGUGCGGGAUGACGGCCUUCGGGUUGUAAACCGCUUUCGCCUGUGACGAAGCGUGAGUGACGGUAAUGGGUAAAGAAGCACCGGCUAACUACGUG
Molecule: ribosomal RNA, 465 nt
Filed under: uncultured bacterium
Lineage: Bacteria
Description: partial 16S ribosomal RNA
Rfam family: Bacterial small subunit ribosomal RNA
Source: RNAcentral